GACGAACGCUGGCGGCGUGCCUAAUACAUGCAAGUAGAACGCUGAAGGAGGAGCUUACUUCUCUGGAUGAGUUGCGAACGGGUGAGUAACGCGUAGGUAACCUGCCUGGUAGCGGGGGAUAACUAUUGGAAACGAUAGCUAAUACCGCAUAAGAGUAGAUGUUGCAUGACAUUUACUUAAAAGGUGCACUUGCACCACUACCAGAUGGACCUGCGUUGGAUUAGCUAGUUGGUGGGGUAACGGCUUACCAAGGUGACGAUACAUAGCCGACCUGAGAGGGUGGUCGGCCACACUGGGACUGAGACACGGCCCAGACUCCUACGGGAGGCAGCAGUAGGGAAUCUUCGGCAAUGGACGGAAGUCUGACCGAGCAACGCCGCGUGAGUGAAGAAGAUUUUCGGAUCGUAAAGCUCUGUUGUAAGAGAAGAACGAGUGUGAGAGUGGAAAGUUCACACUGUGACGGUAUCUUUCCAGAAAGGGACGGCUAACUACGUGCCAGCCGCCGCCGUAA
Molecule: ribosomal RNA, 511 nt
Filed under: uncultured bacterium
Lineage: Bacteria
Description: partial 16S ribosomal RNA
Rfam family: Bacterial small subunit ribosomal RNA
Source: RNAcentral